Molecule: non-coding RNA, 31 nt
Filed under: Rattus norvegicus (Norway rat)
Lineage: Eukaryota; Metazoa; Chordata; Mammalia; Rodentia; Muridae
Source: RNAcentral
UACAGUUAGAAGACUGUCCUCAUCCAAGAUG